UGUGAAGCACCUUCUAGCAGUUAUCUUAGAGAUGUAAGUUCAUUUACUUGUCCAGCACUAAAAGGCCAAAGGGGCUUGUUUUCUCACCCAAAAGACCUUCCUGAGGCAGCUGUUCGGAUACAUGCAGAGCACAGCGCCCUGCUCAGAAAGGAAGGUUCAGAGAACAAAUUGUCGUUUAAAACUAUUGGGACAAACCUACCUCUUCUAAAGCUUAAAAUGGUAAGUCAGGGUUUUAGCGUCCACGUUCUGCGGAGAGAAGGCAGACUUGACUGGGGAAAGCGCAGGCUGACCGAGUGUGGCGGGACAGACGGGUAGGGGAGCCAGGUCUCCCGAAGGGGCUAGCAAUGCGCGUCCGAGUCGAAUGCGGGUUCCCGAUGCUAGACGCCCGCAACCUGCUCCCGAGUGAGAACAAAGGCCGGCGCAGAGCGAGAACCUGAUUGGUGCCCGGUCCUCACUCGUGUCCUCCGGGCCCCAGAGAUAACUUGCAUCGCCUACUGGCAAGGAGCUCUGUGCUCACUGGAGCCCAGCUCCCCACCCGGCCAUGGCCGUGGCCACAGGACUGUGCAUUAUGACAUCACCUGUUUUCGAUUUUUAGAACCUAAUCAGUAUUCUCGGCUUCUCCCUUUUUAAAGGUCUCCAGCGUACCAGGAUUUGUGAAGGCCUGAAGUUCGUAGAAUGAAAUCUAUGUGGAGAUGAUUUAAAAGAACGGUUUCACUGAGACCAACACAUAUAAACCAAGUCUACACAAGAAAC
Molecule: long non-coding RNA, 753 nt
Filed under: Homo sapiens (human)
Lineage: Eukaryota; Metazoa; Chordata; Mammalia; Primates; Hominidae
Description: non-protein coding lnc-ENDOD1-1:11
Source: RNAcentral